UUGAUUCAUUUGCUUGUUCACUCAGAAGAAAUUCCACCGGGGCGAAGUCAAGAGUUCGGGUCCCCCGGCGGGCGCCGGGGCGGUCCGCCGAAGCAACGUCUGGGUAUGUUCACAGGGGUUUGGGAGUUGAAAACUCGGUAAUGAUCCCUCCGCUGGUUCACCAACGGAGA
Molecule: unclassified non-coding RNA, 170 nt
Filed under: uncultured fungus
Lineage: Eukaryota; Fungi
Description: sequence contains ITS1
Source: RNAcentral